UACCGCGUGUGUGAAGAAGGNCUGAGGGUUGUAAAGCACUUUCAAUUGUGAAGAAAAGUUAGCGGUUAAUAACCGUUAGCCUUGACGUUAACUUUAGAAGAAGCACCGGCUAACUCCGUGCCAGCAGCCGCGGUAAUACGGAGGGUGCAAGCGUUAAUCGGAAUUACUGGGCGUAAAGCGUGCGUAGGCGGUUUAUUAAGUCAGAUGUGAAAGCCCCGGGCUUAACCUGGGAACUGCAUUUGAAACUGGUCAACUAGAGUAUGGUAGAGGAAAGUGGAAUUUCUGGUGUAGCGGUGAAAUGCGUAGAUAUCAGAAGGAACAUCAAUGGCGAAGGCAGCUUUCUGGACCAAUACUGACGCUGAGGUACGAAAGCGUGGGUAGCAAACAGGAUUAGAUACCCUGGUAGUCCACGCCGUAAACGAUGAUAACUAGCCGUUGGGGGGAUUUACCCUUUAGUGGCGAAGCUAACGCGUUAAGUUAUCCGCCUGGGGAGUACGGCCGCAAGGUUAAAACUCAAAGGAAUUGACGGGGACCCGCACAAGCGGUGGAGCAUGUGGUUUAAUUCGAUGCAACGCGAAGAACCUUACCUGGUCUUGACAUCCUGCGAACUUUCUAGAAAUAGAUUGGUGCCUUCGGGAACGCAGUGACAGGUGCUGCAUGGCUGUCGUCAGCUCGUGUCG
This 680-nucleotide ribosomal RNA is filed under the name uncultured Gammaproteobacteria bacterium. RNAcentral's name for it is "bacterial SSU rRNA". It matches the Rfam family "Bacterial small subunit ribosomal RNA", at positions 395 to 1067 of the family's 1533-position model. The record is from RNAcentral. Lineage: Bacteria; Pseudomonadati; Pseudomonadota; Gammaproteobacteria.